Molecule: long non-coding RNA, 6226 nt
Organism: Camelus dromedarius (Arabian camel)
Lineage: Eukaryota; Metazoa; Chordata; Mammalia; Artiodactyla; Camelidae
Exons: 6
Source: RefSeq, a predicted model, not a curated record
ACUCUGCAAGGUCCAUGGGAGCAGGGACACUUCCAGUCUGUCUCCUUUCCCACUCCUGCUUCCUUCCAUCAGCAAUAGAGCCCCUGUACCAGCACAACGCCUACCACACCACGGUAGGUGCUUCACGGAUACCUGGUGUGGAGAAUCGACCUCAUAAACUAGGAAGGCUGGGUGGCCGUCUGCACACCAGGAAGACAGCCCUCACCAGGACACUGAAUCAGCCAGCACCUUGAUCUGGGACCUACCAGCCUUCAGAUCUAAGCCCCACGGAAAUGGGAAUAAAGAAGGUAUGAAAUCGCAAGAGCAAAGAGAACAGGUGACGCUGUGACAGCCAACAGAGAGCUCGACAUUUAGGAAAAUGGAAGAUGCACGGAUGAGCAGUGACAGAGCUCCAGAGAUUCCAGCUGGAGGAGCUAAAGUGGAGCCCUGAACCGAAUGGGACUCUGGACAAGCCUAAAGACAUGCCCAGAUUUCCAGCCUGGUGCAGAGAUUGCACAAAACUGGCGCUGAAAUUCACAAACAAAUCUCGAGGGGACUGGAAUUUGGCAGCCGCUCCCUCUUUUGAAAAAGAAAGAGCACAGCUCAACAAAAACCUGCAAAAGGCUGAAGACAGAAUAUGAGAACCUGUCAUCCAGAAUGAAGGCUGCUGGGAAGCGUGACAAACUCACGAGAGAGUUUGCAUCUAACCCCGCUGAGGUCAACCAGCAGCUCUGCCCCUGCUUUCUGCUUCAUUCAUUCAGAAAGAAUUCACAAAGUAGCUAAUAGUUCACAACAUAUGCCACCGCCCGAUCAGCAUCUCUUACGGACCAGGCUCAGCACGAUGCUUACACGUGUUAUGUCCAUUAUCGAGUUAAUCCAUCAUCACAACUCCUUAAAGUGGCUGUGUGGCCCCCACUUCCCAGUACAGAUUAAGACACCAAGCUCACCCCACUCAAUUAACCCAAGGUUUGAAUCUACAUUUGUUUAACUUCAAAACCUUUCCACCAACCAAAUUACCACUCCCCACCCAUUGGCAACCUAGAAACAGAAAGCACAAGGAGCUUGGAGGUCAAGAAGGCUAAACACAAGAGACAACUAGAAAAAUGGAAUUUAACGUACGAACACGUUUGGAUUGCAGAUACGUGGUCAACAUGUGUCCUCGAGACAAUGAGAGCAUAAGUGACAAUGAGAAGAUGGCAUUAUUUACGUGAGAUUUUAAACUUAUUUUUUAUUUUUUUGCUUUUCCCCCUCAGGUUAUAUUUUAUUUUAUUUUUUGUUAUUUAUUUAUUUAGCUUUUUUUAAAAAAUUUACAAUGUUGUAUUAGUUUCUGGUGUAAUUUCUGUGAGAGGCAGAGAGUAGGGCAGAACUGAAGGCUAAAUCUCUGCGGCCAAGAGGAUACGACACAAACAGAGAUGCAGAAGUGACACAAUGGGAGGCAUGGACUGGGACCCGGAGGGGAUGGAUUCGCUGCCGUGGGUGCUUUGAGAGAAAUAAAGAGUGAGGGGCUUCACUCUCACGAGGCUGACUGUCUUAAGGGGACAUCUUAGAAUUAAAUUUGGUAUUGGAAAGCAAAACAAGAAAACCCGUUUUACACACUGGGGCACAAAGUAUCUAAUUUGAGCUCAGAUUUCUGGGCCGCACGUUUUGAAACGUCCUCUUGCCCACCUAGCCCUCUUUGGUUUAUCUUGCCUCCGGGUCUGUUUUCCUUCCGUCUGUCUCUGACGCUCUUCGGUUCGCCCUAAUAUAUUUAGCUGACUUUUUCCAGUGAAGAAUCCAGUGUCUGCCAAGUUGCCCCUAGAACAUGCCAGUUUCAGCCUCCCUUGUCCUUUCUCUCUCAUCCUCGCCCUCCCUCUCUGGCUUUCUUAUGACUUACUCCUUCAGAGUUGUUUCUCCUUCUCCCCAUGUGCCUCCCUGUCCGACUUCCCUUCCUUUUCUACAGGUGGUGAUUCUUUUUUUCUUUGAUUCUUCCUUCUAGCCUGUUAAGUGGAUUUACUCCCCCCACGUCCUAGUCUUGGCUGGGAAACCAGGAGCAAAAUCGUGUCCUGUAAACUCGUCCUACCCAGACAGUCUCGGGAAAUACUGUAAAAUAAUCGGAAUGUAAAUCACGUUGGCUAGAAUUAUUCCUAGACCAAGAAAGCUUCCGAUGAGGGACCCCUAGGCUAGGAGUCUUCCGGUCUGUGCCCAUGGAGGCCUGAGUGGUGGUUCCCCAAGUUUAGCAGCCUUCAGAAUCACCUGGAAGCCUUGUUACAACACAUACAGCUGGGCCCCACACCCAGCGUCUCUGAUUCAGUUAGUCUGGGGUGGGGCCUGAGGAUGUGCGUUUUUCACAGCUUCCCAGGUGAUGCUAACUGUGCUGGUCCAGGGGCCACGCUUUGAGAACCCCUGAAGUGGGAGCACCGACAGCGGUGUGGUGGUCAAGCCUCAGCUGUGUGUGAUAGCAGUUGGGCAGGGGGGGUCACAAGAGGGAAUGCAGUUUUGUUUCUUGUCACAUCGCAAAGGGGCUGGGAAGGGAUCCAGAGGAUGUGCUGGGGUGCAGUGUGGAGGGAGGACAAAAGGGGAAAGCUCUGUGUUGUAACCUUCUGGGAAACACCGAAGCCAGCUCCAAGCCCUGUCCUCCACCCUUCCUCCUGCGCUCAUGCAUGGAAGUGGCAGAAGGGAAUUCUCAGGGUCCUUUUGAUCUCUUCCCAGUUCCCAAGUCGUCUGUCUGUUUAUCUCCCUCCUUCCCUGGCCUCCUCUUCCCUCUUCUUACCCCCUGCCCAGCAGAUGAGUCACUCUCCGCCGUCCUCCCCACCCCACUGCCAUCUGUUUUUCUAAUGAUGGCAGAAGAUGAGCUGUUUUGUUGGCCCACUCUGUAACAAAGCACACUCCAUGCUAGCAUUUUUCCUGAUGCGCUCUCAGAACUCUAUUUUACUGGUGUCAUUUCCCCACCCAGUUUUCCCUUUGUCUCCAACCCCACCCUUUCCCCUUCUUUGGCCUCAUGGAGAUUCCAGUUUCCCAGAAUUCGAUCAAGAGGAACCGAGAUAGAGAAGAAUCAGUCGAGGGACUAACAGGCAUGUGGGCCGGGUGUGUGGGGCGGGGGGAGGGAGCUGCAAGUCAAUGGCAGUUAAACAGCUCCCUCCAGUGCACAAGGCACAGCCCGAAUUAGCCAAGCCUCGCUGCUAAGUGGCUUAAUGACUUCCAGUGAGAGAUUUGUAUGACAAAGCCUGUUGUGAUUGAGAUGAGAGUAUUUGUAUUUGUUACCAGCUAUUCCCAGGGUGAGAGGGCUUGAAUGGUGUGUGUGUGUGUGUGUGUGUGUGUGUGUGUAAUAUCCCCCAGCUCAGGAUGCCUGGGCCAUCCUCCCUCAGCUAGGCUCUGCCUCAACUUGACUCUUUCUUGCAACAACUCCUGUUAAUUUAGUUAAGGCCCUCACCGUCCCCUAAGUCCCCCACUGGGAGAGGAAUCGACCUUGUGAGUUUCUACCUUGGCUCCAUCAGCCAAAGGAGAAGUAAAUGACGAAGUAAAUGAAGGAGUAGAAAACUCCCAAGAGGGCGACUGAGCUGUUCAGGCCUGUACUUCCAGCUAAACUGAUCUUACGACUAACACGCUCCCUCCCUGCGCGUCGUUUCUUAGAAUAACUUAGCCUUUGACCCUAGAGGUCUUGAAAGAAGGUCGUGGAGUGAACCUCAAGAAAAUGGGCAGACCCUCCUGAAUUCCCCUAUCACAACAGCAGGUUCUUAUUGAGAUGAAAGGAAUGCAGCCCCUGCUCACACCUUGAUUGCUAUCACCCUCCUGUUCCCAUUUUCCUAUAAGACAGCGGGACCCUUCCCCCAAGGCAGGCUCACGGUCUUGAAGGCAUCAGCCUGCAGUGACUCCCUUUGCCUGGCAAAGGAAUAAAGCUGUUCUUUUCUAUCCUCCCAAAACUCUGCCUCCAACACUCAAUUCGGCGGUCGGGGUACAGGCGUUGGCUUUUCGGUAACAUAAACAGGAUUCCUUGAGGUAGUAAGGGUCUAGUUUGAGCUAAUCAACAACGGACGACAGGUCCUCCUCAGAGGUUGAAAACAGAUGCCCAAGUGAUGCAGGCAGCUGAUGUCCAUGAGAGAAGCCCAGGAGGCAAGAAGCUAAAGGUGUUGGUCUGUGCUGAACUGGUCCUCCGAGUUGUAGCUGCCACUCAGAGCCAGCUAAUUGUUGCCAUGGUUGCCUCAUAUUCUUGUUUCUCAAGAGAAAAAUCUUUGCACCGUGAGUUUCAUAUUUAUUUGGCAUAUGUGUCUAUGUGUAUGUGUAUAAUGUUACACAAACACAUAUGAAUGUUAUGUGAAAAUCCCAAUUUUUAAGCGUUAGCAACCAAAACAAGAUUGUUUUUAGACACUGCUGGCCCAACCCCUGCCCGUGGGCCAUUGAUCUACAAAAGUCUGAUCUAACUAAGCUAGAGAAUCCCAAAACCAUAAAUUAUUCUGACUUGCUUUUAACUUAUUUUUCAUUAAGUCAUUUAAAAUGGUACCCUGGAGACUUUGCUUAAAAAAAAAGAAGGCAAAAUCAGAAAUUCUAAUAUCUGUAAUUUUGGGAUUGCAGAGCUGAAGUUAAGAGAGUAAACAAAGGAUGUAGGAGAGGGGAAGGGGCAAGCUAUUGAACCAAAAGGACUCACGUCUCUGUAAGCUGAGCAGACCAGGCACGACUGGUCUGGGUCUGGGGACGGGGAGGUGGCUUACCUCACAGGACUGGAUGCAGUGGAUCAGGAGGGGGUCUGGGUGCCACUGACGCCGCCCAGUGCACACGAUGCUCUGAAGGGGAAGAUGGGAAGAACCGAAAACAAAAACAAGACACCUGGUCAGCGAGAGAAAAGGCAACUCCUGCACUUACCCCACCGGCCCAACCCCGUUCCCGGAGGAGCGAGCCUGGCCCUCGCCCCAGGAAGAGGGCCGGCCCACCAUCUGGUCUUUCCCGCGGAGCUGCUAAUCCUGCCCGUGGAGCCAAGGCAGCAACUCUCAGUGGAAGGAAUUUUCCAUCUUCUUCAUCCUCUUCACCCUCCUCAAGACAUCAAAAUGUCUAGAGUGGGGUAGGUAUGAUGAAAAAAAAAAACCAUCCCCAAUACCACAGUGACGUCAGCUUGGCUCUAGGCGUAAUACGGCUUCCAUUGGUUUUAAAAUUGUAAAUAACAUUACAAGAAAUUGUGAAAUGGCUGCAUUGAUCAGGAAACAUCAUGGAGUUUCAAAGGCUGAGAAACAGAGCUUCAUAAAAAGAGUCUUGAGCUGAAAAUGGAUCUCAGGAGUCCUGAUCACAAGAUGCAGGGACCAAGCAAGGAAUGGAGGCCGAUCUGCACUCUCUGCAGCUCUCGUGGGAAACAGCAGAGGGUCCGUGUGCGGGACAAACAGGCUAAUGCGAAACCACCAGGACCCAAAGGGGCACUGACACUAGGCCGGUGAGCUUGUGAAAACGUGUUCGGGUUAAAACACCAGAGACUCUCUCAUUCCCAACGUUUCUAGAUGUGCAUUCAAACAGUCCUCUGUUCUUUGUUGAAUAAGAAUAACUCAUUUUCAUUGAGUUCUUUUUUUCUUUUAACUUUCCUGUUUUAAAAUUUUCAAAAGAUACGUUUCAGAAAAAGAGAAAUUCCCAGAAGAGGUUUCAAAGAGAAAAGGAAAGGGAGAUUCUCUUUAUCACCUGCUACCAACCCACCCAUUUGCGGGCUUUCACACUCCCAUUUUAAAUUCGGUACAACAGAAGUUCAGGGCACUCCGAAGAAAAAUAAUGCACAGUGAGAGAUGCGUUUUAUAUGAAAUUGCACCCCCAGUAACUGAAAAGUAUACAUUCUAGAAUGCUAAGACUCUGCAAUAAUCAGGUUGGAGACAUUUGCAUAUAUUAACAUGUAGGUAUAUGAAAAUAUACCUCAAAGUCAGUUAUGAAAAUGGAAAUCUGCAGUAUUUUUCUGGAAUUAUGCUACUGUAAACUAAAAAUCCUCCUUCACAGCUUCCCUGAUGGGGAAAUAAAUACUAUAAACCCUAAAAAAAAUGUUGAUAUUCGAAAUUCUGCACUGUAAUAAUGUAGAAGGUGACUUUGCUUACUUUAUCUUUGCACUAAAAAUAAAUUAUUAAAUAUAUACAGUCAUCCCUUAGUAUCCACAGGGGAUUGGUUCCAGGACCCUCAAGGAUGCCAGAAUCCAAGGAUGCUCAAGUCCCUUACACAAAAUGAUGUAGUAUUGGUAUGUAACCUUCAGACACAUUCUUUCUCCUACAUGUUAAAUCAUCUAUAGAUUACUUAGAGUACCUUAUACAAU